Molecule: ribosomal RNA, 871 nt
Filed under: uncultured bacterium
Lineage: Bacteria
Description: bacterial SSU rRNA
Rfam family: Bacterial small subunit ribosomal RNA
Source: RNAcentral
GUGGCGAACGGGUGAGUAACACAUCGGAACAUGCCUAGUUGUGGGGGACAACUACUCGAAAGAGUAGCUAAUACCGCAUAAGAUCUACGGAUGAAAGCAGGGGACCUUCGGGCCUUGCGCAAUUAGAGUGGCCGAUGGCAGAUUAGGUAGUUGGUGAGGUAAAGGCUCACCAAGCCUGCGAUCUGUAGCUGGUCUGAGAGGACGACCAGCCACACUGGGACUGAGACACGGCCCAGACUCCUACGGGAGGCAGCAGUGGGGAAUUUUGGACAAUGGGCGCAAGCCUGAUCCAGCAAUGCCGCGUGCAGGACGAAGGCCUUCGGGUUGUAAACUGCUUUUGUACAGAACGAAAAGCUUUGGGUUAAUACCCUGGAGCCAUGACGGUACUGUAAGAAUAAGCACCGGCUAACUACGUGCCAGCAGCCGCGGUAAUACGUAGGGUGCAAGCGUUAAUCGGAAUUACUGGGCGUAAAGCGUGCGCAGGCGGCUAUGCAAGACUGAUGUGAAAUCCCCGGGCUCAACCUGGGAACUGCAUUAGUGACUGCAUAGCUGGAGUGCGGCAGAGGGGGAUGGAAUUCCGCGUGUAGCAGUGAAAUGCGUAGAUAUGCGGAGGAACACCGAUGGCGAAGGCAAUCCCCUGGGCCUGCACUGACGCUCAUGCACGAAAGCGUGGGGAGCAAACAGGAUUAGAUACCCUGGUAGUCCACGCCCUAAACGAUGUCAACUGGUUGUUGGGAAUUUAUUUUCUCAGUAACGAAGCUAACGCGUGAAGUUGACCGCCUGGGGAGUACGGUCGCAAGACUAAAACUCAAAGGAAUUGACGGGGACCCGCACAAGCGGUGGAUGAUGUGGUUUAAUUCGAUGCAACGCG